Herpailurus yagouaroundi (jaguarundi) is the source of this 243-nucleotide long non-coding RNA. RefSeq lists it as uncharacterized. The record is from RefSeq and is a predicted model, not a curated record. The transcript has 2 exons. Lineage: Eukaryota; Metazoa; Chordata; Mammalia; Carnivora; Felidae.
GGAGGCCCCUGCUCUCGGGCACCCGCAGGAACUUACUCCAGCUCCAGACACACCGUAAACACUUUCAUCUAACGGAAGAUAAGCUGUGAAAUCGGAUUUCUGAACCACAAGACACUUGUGUAAAAACUGCAUUCCAUGCCAGGCCUGAAAUGUUCCAAAGCUCAGUUUGGUGAGUAAAUUGCAACCAAGAUUUCUACACACACCAAAAAAACAAAACAAAACAAAACAAAACAACAACAACAA